Molecule: non-coding RNA, 1487 nt
Organism: Macaca mulatta (Rhesus monkey)
Lineage: Eukaryota; Metazoa; Chordata; Mammalia; Primates; Cercopithecidae
Source: RefSeq, a predicted model, not a curated record
GUGAGACGCGCACGCAGCCGGCUCCGCACGAGAUGGAGCAGACCGAGGUGCUGAAGCCACGGACCCUGGCGGAUCUGAUCCGCAUCCUGCACCGGCUCUUCGCCGGCGAUGAGGUCAAUGUAGAGGAGGUGCAGGCCAUCAUGGAAGCCUACGAGAGCGACCCCACCGAGUGGGCUAUGUACGCCAAGUUCGACCAGUACAGGUAUACCCGAAAUCUUGUGGAUCAAGGAAACGGAAAAUUUAAUCUGAUGAUUCUCUGUUGGGGUGAAGGACAUGGCAGCUCGCCAAAGGAAGGAGAAAAGAGAAAAGCCUUGGGGAAAAAAACAUUAAAUGUUAAGUGGAUCUUCUCAAUGUGCAGUAUUCAUGAUCAUACCAACUCCCACUGCUUUCUGAAGAUGCUACAGGGAAAUCUAAAGGAGACAUUAUUUGCCUGGCCUGACAAAAAAUCCAAUGAGAUGGUCAAGAAGUCUGAAAGAGUCUUGAGGGAAAACCAGUGUGCCUACAUCAAUGAUGCAGGAGUAGGGGUGGAGAUGAAUAGUGAUCAGGGGGAAGGAUGUUUCAAGUACAAGGAAGAGCACAAGUGAAGAUUCCAUUGGCUUACAUCGAGUAGAGAACAUCAGCCAUACGGAACCUGCCGUGAGCCUUCACUUGUACAGUCCACCUUUCGAUACGUGCCAUGCCUUUGAUCAAAGAACAGGACAUAAAAACAAAGUCACCAUGACAUUCCAUAGUAAAUUUGGAAUCAGAACUCCAUAUGCAACUUCGGGCUCACUGGAGAACAAUUAAGGAGCACCAAACCCUCUGAGGUUUUACUUUAAGCCUCGCUGUAUGUUUGCCUUGGAUAAAAAGGCUACCUACCAUGUGCUAUCCAGUAAUGUACUUAAAUAAGCCAAUACUUAGAUCUACUGUAAGGCAGAUGCUAAUUAUAAGCAUUAAGUAAGCAAGUAGUGCCCUCAGCUACUGCAGAAGAAAAGUCCCACUAAGGAAAAGAAAGUCUUGUGAUUUUUAAAGGCAAGUUUUCAAGUGCUCUCCUAGUUCUAUCCUCUGAUUCCAUUGAAUCCAUACUAUGAGCGUCAGUGAGGGUUUUCAUAGCUUUUGGAAAUACUUUGGUCUCUGAACUGUAAUUAGCAAGAAGUAAAAACAGAAACCUCAAACAUCAAAUGCUUGCUUUGUUACCUGGAGGACUAACCGUAGAUGUCUUUAGUAUACUUUGUAUGUUCUUAAUAUUGGAAGAUAAUUUUGUGAAUCUGUAGAUUUUAUUUUUUCAGUCUUACCUUACGAAUUUCUUUUCUAUGAAUAAUAGAGAGGAACUUACAGCACUCUGCCAUUGGGUAAUGAAAGGAAGUGCAGAGGAUUUAGAAAAGUACAUGCUCCCCAAACCACAACAAACCAAAACAUAAACUCACGUCUGUGUCCCAUGGUCAUAGUCAAAGAUUUUGUACGGCUAAAAUUGCAAAAUAAUUUUAAUAAAGUGGAUUUGAACACAA